CCGACCUUGCUGGCCGGUCUCCCUGGAGCUGAAGUGCCUGAGGCCUGCUCUGGCCCAGAGCGCACGUAGCUCGGCUGAAUGUUACACGAGAAAGGGAGAAUCCCGUGUUACCACCCUCCCUGGGGCAUCAUCAUUACGGACGUUACCUUCAGGGAAUCUGAGUGAAGGGCACAUGGAAUCCCUCUUCACUCUGUGGGCAUCCUCCUGUGAG
RNAcentral lists this long non-coding RNA (211 nucleotides) under Homo sapiens (human). RNAcentral describes it as "PREDICTED lncRNA (TCONS_00228581)". The record is from RNAcentral. Lineage: Eukaryota; Metazoa; Chordata; Mammalia; Primates; Hominidae.